AGUGAACGCUGGCGGUAGGCCUAACACAUGCAAGUCGAACGGCAGCACAGUAAGAGCUUGCUCUUACGGGUGGCGAGUGGCGGACGGGUGAGGAAUACAUCGUAAUCUACUUUUUCGUGGGGGAUAACGUAGGGAAACUUACGCUAAUACCGCAUCCGACCUACGGGUGAAAGCAGGGGAUCUUCGGACCUUGCGCGAUUGAAUGAGCCGAUGUCGGAUUGGAUAGUUGGCGGGGUAAAGGCCCACCAAGGCGACGAUCCGUAGCUGGUCUGAGAGGAUGAUAGGCCACACUGGAGCUGGACCACGGUCAAGACUCCUGCGGGAGGGAGCAGUGGGGAAUAUUGGGCAGUGGGCGGGAGCCUGGUCCAGCGGUACCGCGUGGGUGGAGAAGACCUUCGGGUUGUAAAGCCCUUUUGUUGGGAGAGAAAAGCAGCAGGUUAAUACCCCGCUGUUCUGACGGUACCCAAAGAAUAAGCACCGGCUAACUUCGUG
RNAcentral lists this ribosomal RNA (492 nucleotides) under uncultured bacterium. RNAcentral's name for it is "partial 16S ribosomal RNA". It matches the Rfam family "Bacterial small subunit ribosomal RNA", at positions 29 to 507 of the family's 1533-position model. The record is from RNAcentral.